Molecule: long non-coding RNA, 403 nt
Organism: Salarias fasciatus (jewelled blenny)
Lineage: Eukaryota; Metazoa; Chordata; Actinopteri; Blenniiformes; Blenniidae
Exons: 3
Source: RefSeq, a predicted model, not a curated record
CUCCGGGUUCCUCUGGUCAUGGUCCCAGUCCAGUUUCUCCUGGUCCUGAUCCAACUUCUUGGAAGAAGUUCUUCGUCAUCCUGACAGGAAGAACAAAUGGAGCUCAUCAAUCUGUUGUUAAAAAAAUUAAAUCUUUGGGUCAGACUGAGGCGAGGUCUCCUGAAGACGCUGACUACUGUCUGGUUUUCUGUCCCGUCUCUUAUCAAGUUCGAUCAGACGUCAGUGAGGCCAUGGAGCAUCUUCCUGCUGGUAAAGCAGCCGUUCUGGUGGUGAUGCAUCACACCUUCAAUCCUGAACAAGUGAUUCCUCCGAGCCGCAGAGUGGUGACAGACCGGAGAGUCCGACUGACUGUGGACUGUCUGUUCCACCAGAACAAUCUGCUCAGCUGUGAACUCAACAGGAG